RNAcentral lists this ribosomal RNA (253 nucleotides) under uncultured bacterium. Its description in RNAcentral is "partial 16S ribosomal RNA". It matches the Rfam family "Bacterial small subunit ribosomal RNA", at positions 524 to 776 of the family's 1533-position model. The record is from RNAcentral.
UACGAAGGGGGCUAGCGUUGCUCGGACUCACUGGGCGUAAAGGGUGCGUAGGCGGGUCUUUACGUCAGGGGUGAAAUCCUGGAGCUCAACUCCAGAACUGCCUUUGAUACUGAGGAUCUUGAGUUCGGGAGAGGUGAGUGGAACUGCGAGUGUAGAGGUGAAAUUCGUAGAUAUUCGCAAGAACACCAGUGGCGAAGGCGGCUCACUGGCCCGAUACUGACGCUGAGGCACGAAAGCGUGGGGAGCAAACAGG